CUUGAGCAAGAAGAACGAGACUAGCUUUCGAAACGUAGUGAUUUCAGGCUCAAAUGAGCUGGACGCAGACUCCGUUAACUCAUUGAGAUCGGAUCUGAAGAAGCAGAGCGGUGGGGUGACGUUGAAGAUUCAGUUGGACGCUAAAGUGAAAGUCAAGAUGGGUGGACUGAAAACGAAGAAGGUGGGGAUCAGGGUUACGUGUGAAGGGAUUAAAGGGGCUGUACCCAAAGGCAAGUCUCCGACGGCUGCCGUAACUACUGGUUCUAAGUGCAAAGUUGAUCUGAGAAUCAAGAUCUGG
RNAcentral lists this unclassified non-coding RNA (298 nucleotides) under Hevea brasiliensis (rubber tree). Lineage: Eukaryota; Viridiplantae; Streptophyta; Magnoliopsida; Malpighiales; Euphorbiaceae. The record is from RNAcentral.